This 254-nucleotide ribosomal RNA is filed under the name uncultured bacterium. RNAcentral describes it as "partial 16S ribosomal RNA". It matches the Rfam family "Bacterial small subunit ribosomal RNA", at positions 524 to 776 of the family's 1533-position model. The record is from RNAcentral.
GACGAACCGUGCGAACGUUAUUCGGAAUCACUGGGCUUAAAGCGCGUGUAGGCGGGACGGCACGUCGGUCGCUGAAAUCCCCCGGCUCAACCGGGGAACGGGCGCCGAUACGACCGUCCUGGAGGGACGUAGGGGGACCUGGAGCUUCCGGUGGAGUGGUGAAAUGCGUUGAGAUCGGAAGGAACGCCCGUGGCGAAAGCGAGGUCCUGGACGUUUUCUGACGCUGAGACGCGAAAGCCAGGGGAGCGAACGGG